GGCAGUGAUAGCUCAGAGGUUAAGCUUUUGGACUUCUGAUAGGAUGGUCAUGAGUUCAAACCCCAGAACUGCCA
Ameiurus melas (black bullhead) is the source of this 74-nucleotide non-coding RNA. Lineage: Eukaryota; Metazoa; Chordata; Actinopteri; Siluriformes; Ictaluridae. The record is from the annotation of a GenBank genome assembly.